This 285-nucleotide RNase P RNA is filed under the name Desulfobulbus sp. Its description in RNAcentral is "partial RNase P RNA component class A". It matches the Rfam family "Bacterial RNase P class A", at positions 1 to 281 of the family's 367-position model. Rfam says of the family: Ribonuclease P (RNase P) is a ubiquitous endoribonuclease, found in archaea, bacteria and eukarya as well as chloroplasts and mitochondria. Its best characterised activity is the generation of mature 5'-ends of tRNAs by cleaving the 5'-leader elements of precursor-tRNAs. The record is from RNAcentral. Lineage: Bacteria; Pseudomonadati; Thermodesulfobacteriota; Desulfobulbia; Desulfobulbales; Desulfobulbaceae.
UGGGGCGGACGCAUGAUCGCUCCGGUCGUCAGGCCGGGGAGGAAAGUCCGAACACCACAGGGCGCGGUGGUUCGUAACGCGAACUCCGGGUAACCGGAGGAAAGUGCCACAGAAAACACACCGCCGAUGGCCCGCCGACUGCGGGCACAGGUAAGGUUGAAAUGGCGAGGUAAGAGCUCACCGCUUCCGUGGCGACACGGGAGGCAGGGUAAACCCCACCGGGUGCAAGACCAAAUAGGGAAACGCUUGAGGGCUGCCCGUCCGAUGUUUCCGGGUAGGUUGCGC